RNAcentral lists this ribosomal RNA (600 nucleotides) under uncultured bacterium. RNAcentral's name for it is "bacterial SSU rRNA". It matches the Rfam family "Bacterial small subunit ribosomal RNA", at positions 91 to 715 of the family's 1533-position model. The record is from RNAcentral.
ACGAGUGGCGGACGGUUGAGUAUGUCUGGAGAACUGCUGAUGGAGGGGAUACUACUGGAAACGGUAGCUAUACGGAUACGUCGCAGACAAAGGGACCUCGGGGCUCUGGCAUCGGAUGUGCCAGAUGGAUUACUUGUUGGUGGGUAACGGGUCACCAGCGAGAUCCUACUGGUCUGAGAGAUGACCAGCCACACUGGAACUGAGACACGGUCCAACUCCUACGGGAGGCAAUGGGGAAUAUCGCACAAUGGGCGCAAGCCUGAUGCAGCCAUGCCGCGCGUAUGAAGAAGGCCUUCGGGUUGUAAAGUACUUUCAGCGGGGAGGAAGGGAGUAAAGUUAAUACCUUUGCUCAUUGACGUUACCCGCAGAAGAAGCACCGGCUAACUCCGUGCCAGCAGCCGCGGUAAUACGGAGGGUGCAAGCGUUAAUCGGAAUUACUGGGCGUAAGCAGCACGCAGCGGUUUGUUAAGUCAAUGUGAAAUCCCCGGGCUCAACCUGGGAACUGAAUCUGAUACUGGCAAGCUUGAGUCUCGUAAGGGGGGUAGAAUUCCAGGUGUAGGCGGUGCAAAUGCGUAAGAGAUACUGGAGGAAUAACGGUAG